AUGGCUUCACUAACACUCGCGUCUCUCUGCUGGGCUCUGUUGUUCCUCUUCGUCGUGGUUUUCGCAGCUGAAGCCCAGAACACCAUCACAGCUGAGCCUGGACAGGCUGUAGUUCUACCAUGUCGAGUUCCAUCAGACAAAAUCAUGCAAGGUAUGAAGUGGAACAGAGCUGACCUGGGAGAUAAUUAUGUGCUUUUUUUCCGGGAUGACCGGCUGGAUCCAGAUGGUCAGCAUCCAUCUUUUAAGAACCGGGUGGAUCUGCAGGACAGGAAUAUGAAUAAUGGAGACGUGUCUCUGGUUCUGAAGAAUGUGACGACUGCUGAUGAUGGAUCAUACAAUUGUAAUAUUUUCAACAAAGUGACAAAAUCAUGGGAGAGCAUCAACACUGUCAGCCUGACUGUUUCAGGUCAGACAGCAGAACUCACAGUUGCACCUGUUGGACUCAUCGCUGGUCUGAGUGUUCCUGCUGUGAUUCUUGUUGCUGCUGCUGUUGGUUUUGUGUGCUACAGAAAACAUAAAAAACAGAACCGGGAUUUUAACUAG
This 543-nucleotide long non-coding RNA is filed under the name Oreochromis niloticus (Nile tilapia). RNAcentral's name for it is "lncRNA (ENSONIG00000032944.1)". The record is from RNAcentral. Lineage: Eukaryota; Metazoa; Chordata; Actinopteri; Cichliformes; Cichlidae.